CUGCCAGAAACAUUGGCAGCUGUUCUGGCUCUGCUGUUUGCAUGAGACACCUCUGUGGCUGGCGUACAGGGACACAAUCUGUCACUCAACCUUAACUUUAAGACAAAGAGAAAAUUAGAGUGUGCCCUUGCUAUCUAGUCUUGAGACAGAGUGAAAGAACCUUGGAGUGCUAAUUGUGAUGGGAAGUCAACGUCUUCACAGCGCAAGCAGGGAAAAAGGCGUCCCCCACCUUGGUCCCCAAGUCCCCUGGGAUAGGCUCCGGGCUUCCCAUGACCCUGUUGCCAGAUCCUGACACACUUCUAAUGCUGUGGUUCCUCUUGCCCUCUGGACCUGCCUGAUUUAUUCAAGAACACUACUUCUGUUUGGAGCUACUACAGUUGUGACUUGCCUUCUACUGCUGUAGAUGGUCCCACCUGGAUACCCGAAAGUUUUGCACUUCCC
Molecule: long non-coding RNA, 441 nt
Organism: Ictalurus punctatus (channel catfish)
Lineage: Eukaryota; Metazoa; Chordata; Actinopteri; Siluriformes; Ictaluridae
Source: Ensembl